This is a long non-coding RNA of Corvus hawaiiensis (hawaiian crow), 718 nucleotides long. RefSeq lists it as uncharacterized. The record is from RefSeq and is a predicted model, not a curated record. The transcript has 4 exons. NCBI's taxonomy places the organism in Eukaryota, Metazoa, Chordata, Aves, Passeriformes, Corvidae.
UGUUAAUGUUAUUGGUCAAUUAACAAAUAUAAUCCACACUUCUGUAAGAAAAAAUAUAGAGUCUAGAAAAUAGAGUAUACAGAGUAUAGACUAUAUAGAGCAUAUAGAGCAUAUAAGAGAAGAAGCUGUUUUCUGCCUGCUGUUGCUGUUGCUGCUUGCCUUUAUCAUGUAAUCCCCUUCGAUCUCUACCUUCAAGAAAGCUAUGAUACUAUGAAAUAAAGAAUUUAGCAGAACAGCAGCCUCCUCUGCUCUUUUACCCUGGUCCGAGAAGGAAGGGUAUCCUGUCAAAAGCUCAAAAUUGCAGGGGAACUUGGAGCCAGUCUCACUAGAAAUUAUCACUGUUCAUAUGUGUAACACCAUGGUGAAGGGUAUUGUCAAUAGCAUGAAGAAUGGCAUCAAAAGUGCUCAGCAGAAAGUGCAAAUUAAGUCUUUGGCUUCUACCCUGCAACCUUCAGCACUCUGAAUCUCACAAGCUCAACAGGAGAUUAAACUCUGUAAAUUUUAUGCACACACUUUGCAUUAACAGUCAAGACUCACAUGUCUACUGCAUUUCCAAGUGCUUUCUGCAUGUGAAGACUGAAGACUUUUUACCCAUAGCUAUAACCAAGAGUUUGUUGUGUUUAUUGCAGCUGCAGGUCUGUUGUGGCCUCAUGGUUUUACAAGGUGAAAGCCCCUCUGUGCAGGGACAGGUGGCUGCAGGCCCCGUGUGGGGGCCAGC